This 92-nucleotide transfer RNA is filed under the name Bacillota bacterium. RNAcentral describes it as "Firmicutes bacterium (gut metagenome) tRNA-Ser". It matches the Rfam family "tRNA". From Rfam's summary of the family: Transfer RNA (tRNA) molecules are approximately 80 nucleotides in length. Their secondary structure includes four short double-helical elements and three loops (D, anti-codon, and T loops). Lineage: Bacteria; Bacillati; Bacillota. The record is from RNAcentral. RNAcentral also lists the same sequence under 6 other names.
GGAGAAGUACUCAAGUUGGCCGAAGAGGCGCCCCUGCUAAGGGUGUAGGUCGGGAAACCGGCGCGAGGGUUCAAAUCCCUCCUUCUCCGCCA